UACUCGAGUGGCGAACGGGUGAGUAACACGUGGGUGAUCUGCCCUGCACUUCGGGAUAAGCUUGGGAAACUGGGCCUAAUACCGGAUAGGACCGCACUUUAGUGUGUGUGGUGGAAAGUUUUUUCGGUGUAGGAUGAGCUCGCGGCCUAUCAGCUUGUUGGUGGGGUAAUGGCCUACCAAGGCGGCGACGGGUAGCCGGCCUGAGAGGGUGUACGGCCACAUUGGGACUGAGAUACGGCCCAG
This 243-nucleotide ribosomal RNA is filed under the name uncultured Actinomycetales bacterium. Its description in RNAcentral is "partial 16S ribosomal RNA". It matches the Rfam family "Bacterial small subunit ribosomal RNA", at positions 88 to 334 of the family's 1533-position model. The record is from RNAcentral. Lineage: Bacteria; Bacillati; Actinomycetota; Actinomycetes; Actinomycetales.